This 537-nucleotide ribosomal RNA is filed under the name uncultured bacterium. Its description in RNAcentral is "bacterial SSU rRNA". It matches the Rfam family "Bacterial small subunit ribosomal RNA", at positions 359 to 917 of the family's 1533-position model. The record is from RNAcentral.
GGAUUGGANAUGGGGGCACCCUGAUCCAGCCAUCCCGCGUGAAUGAUGAAGGCCUUCGGGUUGUAAAGUUCUUUUGACGGGGACGAUGAUGACGGUACCCGUAGAAUAAGCUCCGGCUAACUUCGUGCCAGCAGCCGCGGUAAUACGAAGGGAGCUAGCGUUGUUCGGAAUUACUGGGCGUAAAGGGCGCGUAGGCGGCUCGACAAGUUGGAUGUGAAAGCCCAGGGCUCAACCCUGGAAUAGCAUUCAAGACUGUCUUGCUUGAAUUCGGUAGAGGUUGGUGGAAUUCCCAGUGUAGAGGUGAAAUUCGUAGAGAUUGGGAAGAACACCCGUGGCGAAGGCGGCCAACUGGACCGACAUUGACGCUGAGGCGCGAAAGCGUGGGGAUCAAACAGGAUUAGAUACCCUGGUAGUCCACGCUGUAAACGAUGCAUGCUAGACGUCAGAGGGCUUAGCUCUCUUGUGUCGCAGCUAACGCACUAAGCAUGCCGCCUGGGGAGUACGGCCGCAAGGUUGAAACUCAAAAAAAUUGACGGA